CCUUCCUACAGGUGAAGCGGCUGCUUGCACUCGUGGAUCAGUGGCGAACGGGUGAGUAACACGUGAGUAACCUGCCCUCCACUCUGGGAUAAGCGCUGGAAACGGCGUCUAAUACUGGAUACGACCGACCCUCGCAUGGGGUGUUGGUGGAAAGAUUUAUCGGUGGUGGAUGGACUCGCGGCCUAUCAGCUUGUUGGUGGGGUAAUGGCCUACCAAGGCGACGACGGGUAGCCGGCCUGAGAGGGCGACCGGCCACACUGGGACUGAGACACGGCCCAGACUCCUACGGGAGGCAGCAGUGGGGAAUAUUGCACAAUGGGCGAAAGCCUGAUGCAGCGACGCCGCGUGAGGGAUGACGGCCUUCGGGUUGUAAACCUCUUUCAGCAGGGAAGAAGCUUUUGUGACGGUACCUGCAGAAGAAGCACCGGCUAACUACGUGCCAGCAGCCGCGGUAAUACGUAGGGUGCGAGCGUUGUCCGGAAUUAUUGGGCGUAAAGAGCUUGUAGGCGGUUUGUCGCGUCUGCUGUGAAAAUUCAGGGCUUAACCCUGGACGUGCAGUGGGUACGGGCAGACUAGAGUAUGGUAGGGGAGACUGGAAUUCCUGGUGUAGCGGUGGAAUGCGCAGAUCUCAGGAGGACCACCGCAUGCUGGAAAGUCAGCUCCUCUGGCACCAUUACUCUAACGCCUUGAGUAAU
This 695-nucleotide ribosomal RNA is filed under the name Kytococcus sp. K372. RNAcentral's name for it is "bacterial SSU rRNA". It matches the Rfam family "Bacterial small subunit ribosomal RNA", at positions 62 to 757 of the family's 1533-position model. The record is from RNAcentral. Lineage: Bacteria; Bacillati; Actinomycetota; Actinomycetes; Micrococcales; Kytococcaceae.